GAUUCCACGAAUGAGUACUUCUUUCUUUUUUUUUAAAUUGCAGGUAUGGUUGGACAUUUAAAUUGUUCAUCGCAAUUUAUUUGGUGGCAGAGGUGUUUUCUGAAACCCUUGGACCAUGUUUUGCAUCCUUUUCAACAGUGGAGAGAGUUAAUUCCUGUCCCACAACAGAGAAGUCUUGGGCUGAACGUGAAAGAAAUAAGGAUUGUAAAAGCGUUAAACAAAACUGCACCAUUCCUGAAAAUUUCCAUUAUCAUUGUGUCGUCAAUGAGUGGAGAAACGCGACAUUAGAACUGUGUGCGCCUGUCAAAAACGUUAUUGAUCAAUGUGCAGAAUAUAACGCGGGGGCACAUCAAACUCAAUAUAAUCGUGAGAAUUGUACAAAUUUUUCAACACCUUGUCCUCAUUUGUAUAAAUCAAACGAGGUUUACAAAUAUCCAGAGUGUUUCAAACUCAAGUCACCCCCUCAUAAUUCCAGCAUUGACGAUCAUCAAAAUAGAGUGAAUGUGAUGAACAAAUCAUGGGUGGAUGAUUCAGAAAAACAUGUAUCCGGACUUACUCAAAUAUAUUCAUCAAGAUUGACGUUUUUAAUGGCUUUUGUCACGGCAUAUCACCAAAGCACCUUUUGAAGAGGCAUUGAAAGGUUGCUCCGAUACCUAUAUUAAAUUUGAUGUCAUUUAAAGGAGAACCCAACAUCAUACAAAGUGCCCUUUUUGAGAGACUGUAGGCAAAUCUGGAUAAUUUCCAAUGUCUGAUCAUGAAAAAAGUCCCAUAUUCAUAACUGUUUUUUUUUUCAUUUUUCAUUUAAAAUAACAGUUUAUAAAUAUGAUCUUGUUCAUCUUGGUAAUCUAAAAAUCAUGUCCCGAAAUACCUUUUUUGACCAAGCUUAACUUAUAAAACAUCAUUGCAAAAAUUUAUCAAAUUUGAAGUAGAAUGUAUUGGCAAUUAAUUUAUA
Long non-coding RNA from Saccostrea cuccullata (small rock oyster), 952 nucleotides. RefSeq lists it as uncharacterized. The transcript is spliced from 5 exons. NCBI's taxonomy places the organism in Eukaryota, Metazoa, Mollusca, Bivalvia, Ostreida, Ostreidae. The record is from RefSeq and is a predicted model, not a curated record.